RNA transcript from Eutrema salsugineum, 1140 nucleotides. It is a transcript of the gene named TATA-box-binding protein 1, with no coding region annotated. NCBI's taxonomy places the organism in Eukaryota, Viridiplantae, Streptophyta, Magnoliopsida, Brassicales, Brassicaceae. The record is from RefSeq and is a predicted model, not a curated record. The transcript is spliced from 9 exons.
GAUAGCCUCUCACAGAUCUAAAAAACCUCUUUCAUAAGAGAGAAGCGAGAGAGAACGAAAUCACUCUCCCUUUAUAAGCACUGAUUUACAAAUUUCUUUCCCUCUAAAAUUCUCAGAUCUUUGUAUAAAAGCCUCAAUUUUUCGUCUUCUUCCGCCGAAUUUCGACCGGGAAUCUCGCCUAAUCGUUUCCGACAACGCAACCCUAGAUCCGUGUCGGAAUUGCUAUCAAAAAGGAGAAUGACUGAUCAAGGAUUGGAAGGGAGUAAUCCAGUGGACCUUGCCGAGCAUCCUUCGGGGAUUGUUCCUACUCUUCAAAACAUCGUCUCCACGGUGAACUUGGACACUAAACUAGAUCUCAAAGCCAUAGCUUUGCAGGCUAGGAAUGCUGAAUAUAAUCCCAAGCGUUUUGCUGCGGUGAUCAUGCGAAUUAGAGAACCAAAGACAACAGCAUUAAUUUUUGCCUCUGGUAAAAUGGUUUGUACUGGAGCCAAGAGUGAACACUUUUCAAAGAUGGCCGCAAGAAAGUAUGCUAGGAUUGUCCAGAAGCUAGGAUUUCCGGCAAAAUUUAAGGAUUUCAAGAUUCAAAAUAUCGUAGGUUCUUGUGAUGUCAAGUUCCCUAUAAGACUUGAAGGUCUUGCAUACUCUCAUGCUGCUUUCUCCAGUUAUGAGCCUGAGCUGUUUCCGGGGCUGAUCUACAGGAUGAAAGUACCCAAGAUUGUGCUACUAAUUUUUGUGUCUGGGAAGAUAGUCAUCACUGGAGCAAAGGUAUAAUCUCACUUUCUUCUCUUUAGGUUUGUGUGAUAAUCUCCCGAGAAAUGCAUAUGCUAUGUCUCUCUCUAGCUCUUCUGCCAUCUGAUAAAAAACCUGAGAAUCACUCACUAUCAGAUGAGAGAGGAGACCUACAAAGCCUUUGAGAAUAUAUACCCGGUCCUCACUGAGUUCAGGAAGAUCCAGCAAUAGGUCUUUAGCCCCUCGAGGUUGAUAAGCUUGCUGAGAAUUUUGUCCUUUAACAAAGGUUGAUAUCUACUUUUAUGUUCAGUUUUAAGAUUGUAAUACGACUUUGUAAAUACACAAAUGUAGACAAUUCUUAUGUAGUUUUUUUCUCAAAGAUAUGUUAAAAAUUACAAACUCCCAACUUUA